GCGGUAAUAGCUCAGUCGGUAGAGCGUUGGCUUCCCAAGCCGAAGGUCGCGGGUUCGAACCCCGUUUACCGCU
RNAcentral lists this transfer RNA (73 nucleotides) under uncultured Paludibacter sp. RNAcentral's name for it is "tRNA-Gly". It matches the Rfam family "tRNA". From Rfam's summary of the family: Transfer RNA (tRNA) molecules are approximately 80 nucleotides in length. Their secondary structure includes four short double-helical elements and three loops (D, anti-codon, and T loops). Lineage: Bacteria; Pseudomonadati; Bacteroidota; Bacteroidia; Bacteroidales; Paludibacteraceae. The record is from RNAcentral.